RNAcentral lists this ribosomal RNA (253 nucleotides) under uncultured bacterium. RNAcentral's name for it is "partial 16S ribosomal RNA". It matches the Rfam family "Bacterial small subunit ribosomal RNA", at positions 524 to 776 of the family's 1533-position model. The record is from RNAcentral.
GGCAGAGGGUGCAAACGUUGUUCGGAAUUACUGGGCGUAAAGCGAGUGUAGGCGGUUUGGUCAGUCGGAUGUGAAAGCCCUGGGCUCAACCCAGGAAGUGCACUCGAAACAGCCAAGCUAGAGUAUCGGAGAGGUUGGUGGAAUUCUCGGUGUAGAGGUGAAAUUCGUAGGUAUCGAGAGGAACACCGGUGGCGAAGGCGGCCAACUGGACGAAUACUGACGCUGAGACUCGAAAGCGUGGGGAGCAAACAGG